RNAcentral lists this ribosomal RNA (243 nucleotides) under uncultured bacterium. Its description in RNAcentral is "partial 16S ribosomal RNA". It matches the Rfam family "Bacterial small subunit ribosomal RNA", at positions 524 to 767 of the family's 1533-position model. The record is from RNAcentral.
UACGUAGGGCGCAAGCGUUAUCCGGAAUUACUGGGCGUAAAGCGUGCGCAGGCGGUCUGUUAAGACCGAUGUGAAAUCCCCGGGCUUAACCUGGGAACUGCAUUGGUGACUGGCAGGCUUUGAGUGUGGCAGAGGAGGUAGAAUUCCACGUGUAGCAGUGAAAUGCGUAGAGAUGUGGAGGAAUACCGAUGGCGAAGGCAGCCUCCUGGGCCAACACUGACGCUCAUGCACGAAGCGUGGGAG